GGAGACGUAGCUAAAUGGAACAAGAGCAUCUGAAUACGAAUCAGCAGGUUGUAGGUUCGAAUCCUACCGUCUUCACCA
RNAcentral lists this transfer RNA (78 nucleotides) under Blastocatellia bacterium. Its description in RNAcentral is "tRNA-Arg". It matches the Rfam family "tRNA". Rfam says of the family: Transfer RNA (tRNA) molecules are approximately 80 nucleotides in length. Their secondary structure includes four short double-helical elements and three loops (D, anti-codon, and T loops). Lineage: Bacteria; Pseudomonadati; Acidobacteriota; Blastocatellia. The record is from RNAcentral.